CCUUGACCUCAUUUUCAUGGUUCAGUGGUUAUAGUUAAGUUUUUGUGUUUUGGUCUGUUUUUCCUAUACUGUAUGCCAUAGGUCUACUAUAUUUGGUGUAUGGAAUGAUUGUAAGGUGUACAUGUCUAGCGGGCAGGUGUCAUCUAACCUUGACCUCAUUUUCAUGGUUCAGUGGUCAAAGUUAAGUUUUUGAGUUUUGGUCUUUUUUUCUAAUACUAUAUGCAAUAGUUCAACUAUAUUUGGUAUGUGCGUACCUUGCAAGGUCCUAAUGCCCGUCAGACAGUUUUCACUUGACCUCGACCUCAUUUCAUGGAUCAGUGAACAAGGUUAAGUUUUCGUGGUCAAGUCCAUAUCUCAGAUACUAUAAGCAAUAGGUCUAGUAUAUUCGGUGUAUGGAAGGACUGUAAGGUGUACAUGUCCAACUGGCAGGUGUCAUCUGACCUUGACCUCAUUUUCAUGGUUCAGUGGUUAUAGUUAAGUUUUUGUGUUUUGGUCUGUUUUUCUUAUACCGUAUGCAAUAGGUCUACUAUAUUUGGUGUAUGGAAUGAUUGUAAGGUGUACAUGUCUAGCUGGCAGGUGUCAUCUGACCUUGACCUCAUUUUCAUGGUUCAGUGGUCAAAGUUAAGUUUUUGAGUUUUGGUCUUUUUUUCUAAUACUGCAUGCAAUAGGUCAGCUAUAUUUGGUGUAUGGAAUGAUUGUAAGGUGUACAUGUCUAGCUGGCAGGUGUCAUCUGACCUUGACCUCAUUUUCAUGGUUCAGUGGUCAAAGUUAAGUUUUUGAGUUUUGGUCUUUUUUUCUAAUACUGUAUGCAAUAGGUCAACUAUAAAUGGUGUAUGGAAUGAUUGUAAGAUGUACAUGUCUAGCUGGCAGGUGUCAUCUGACCUUGACCUCAUUUUCAUGGUUCAGUGGUCAAAAAAGUUAAGUUUUUGAGUUUUGGUCUUUUUUUCUAAUACUAUAUGUAAUAGUUCAACUAUAUUUGGUGUAUGGAAAUAUUUUAUGAUCUAUAUGUCAGUCACGCAGGUUUUAUUUGACCUUGACCUCAUUUUCAAGGUUCAUUGCUCAGUGUUAAGUUUUUGUGUUUUGGUCUGUUUUUCUUAUACUGUAUGCAAUAGGUCUACUAUAUUUGAUGUAUGGAAUGAUUGUAAGGUGUACAUGUCUAGCUGGCAGGUGUCAUCUGACCUUGACCUCAUUUUCAUAGAUCAGUGGUGAAAGUUAAGUUUUUGAGUUUUGGUCUUUUUUUCUAAUACUAUAUGCAAUAGUUCAACUAUAUUUGGUGUAUGGAAAUAUACUAUGAUCUAUAUGUCAG
Molecule: long non-coding RNA, 1306 nt
Organism: Mytilus californianus (California mussel)
Lineage: Eukaryota; Metazoa; Mollusca; Bivalvia; Mytilida; Mytilidae
Exons: 3
Source: RefSeq, a predicted model, not a curated record